AGGAGGGCAAAUUUUGAGGUGUUACAGUGUUUUACGUUGUUUGAGUUUUAUGAUUUUUUUUACAGAGUCGUUUUUACAAAGUUUUUUUUCUUCUGAGUUUAAAGGAUGUAAUUUGUGUGUUUUUUUCUUGCAGAAAAUGUGUAUAUGGAUAUGUAAAUAACAAGUUGUAUAUAUAAUAUUUUAGAAGCUGAAGAAGACGAAGAAUUGGAUGAAGAAGAUGGAGAGUUUGAAAAAUGAGAAUGACAAUUUCAAAAGUUGGCCUUCCAUCAAAAUGGACUACAAGUUCUUGUUGUUGCUGAGAAUAAAAUUUUGAAGGUGAGGAGUUUUGUUAUUGUUGUUGGUGAUGGGGAUGAUUGGUGUUGCCUAUCUUCUAUUUGUUGUUUGCAUAUUUGUAGUUUCAUUUAAGAUUCUUGUGUUUUACGUUGUUUGAGUUUUAUGAUUUUUUUUAUAGAGUCCUUUUUACAAAGUUUUUUUUUCUUCUGAGUUUAAAGAAUGUGAUUUGUGUGUUUUUUUCUUGCAGAAAAUGUGUAUAUGGAUAUGUAAAUAACAAGCUGUAUAUAUAUGCAGAAAAGGUGUUUUUUUCUGAGUUUUUUACUGAAAAAUGUUGUUG
This 610-nucleotide long non-coding RNA is filed under the name Lathyrus oleraceus (garden pea). RNAcentral describes it as "Pisum sativum (pea) long non-coding RNA (PSAT_LNC036441)". The record is from RNAcentral. Lineage: Eukaryota; Viridiplantae; Streptophyta; Magnoliopsida; Fabales; Fabaceae.